CUACGUGCCAGCAGCCGCGGUAAUACGGAAGGUCCGGGCGUUAUCCGGAUUUAUUGGGUUUAAAGGGAGCGUAGGCUGGAGAUUAAGUGUGUUGUGAAAUGUAGACGCUCAACGUCUGACUUGCAGCGCAUACUGGUUUCCUUGAGUACGCACAACGUUGGCGGAAUUCGUCGUGUAGCGGUGAAAUGCUUAGAUAUGACGAAGAACUCCGAUUGCGAAGGCAGCUGACGGGAGCGCAACUGACGCUUAAGCUCGAAGGUGCGGGUAUCGAACAGGAUUAGAUACCCUGGUAGUCCGCACAGUAAACGAUGGAUGCCCGCUGUUGGUACCUGGUAUCAGCGGCUAAGCGAAAGCAUUAAGCAUCCCACCUGGGGAGUACGCCGGCAACGGUGAAACUCAAAGGAAUUGACGGGGGCCCGCACAAGCGGAGGAACAUGUGGUUUAAUUCGAUGAUACGCGAGGAACCUUACCCGGGCUUGAAUUGCAGAGGAAGGAUUUAGAGAUA
RNAcentral lists this ribosomal RNA (505 nucleotides) under uncultured bacterium. RNAcentral's name for it is "bacterial SSU rRNA". It matches the Rfam family "Bacterial small subunit ribosomal RNA", at positions 501 to 1008 of the family's 1533-position model. The record is from RNAcentral.